This 253-nucleotide ribosomal RNA is filed under the name uncultured bacterium. RNAcentral describes it as "partial 16S ribosomal RNA". It matches the Rfam family "Bacterial small subunit ribosomal RNA", at positions 524 to 776 of the family's 1533-position model. The record is from RNAcentral.
UACGAAGGGAGCUAGCGUUACUCGGAAUCAUUGGGCGUACAGCGUGCGUAGGCGGCUUUGUAAGUUAGGAGUGAAAGCCUGGGGCUCAACCCCAGAAUUGCUUUUAAUACUGCAAAGCUAGAGUGUCAGAGGGGAUAGCGGAAUUCCUAGUGUAGAAGUGAAAUUCGUAGAUAUUAGGAGGAACACCGGUGGCGAAGGCGGCUAUCUGGCUGAAUACUGACGCUGUUGCACGAAAGCGUGGGGAGCAAACAGG